GUGCGAUCGCCCGCGAGGGCGGUCACGAAGCCCUGACGAGUAGGAGGGUCGCGGCGGUGAGCGCAGAAGGGCUGGCCGCGAGGCCGUCUGGAGCCGCCGUCGGUGCAGAUCUUGGUGGUAGUAGCAAAUACUCCAGCGAGGCCCUGGAGGACUGACGUGGAGAAGGGUUUCGUGUGAACAGCCGUUGCACACGAGUCAGUCGAUCCUAAGCCCUAGGCGAAAGCCGAUGUCGAUGCGGUGUAGUUUUUACCAAACAUAUAUUAUAUAUAUAUAUACGUGUAUAGAGCGAGAACACACCCGUCGGGCGAAAGGGAAUCCGGUUCCUAU
This 327-nucleotide ribosomal RNA is filed under the name Silvacalles tolpivorus. RNAcentral describes it as "eukaryotic LSU rRNA". It matches the Rfam family "Eukaryotic large subunit ribosomal RNA", at positions 1342 to 1616 of the family's 3401-position model. Lineage: Eukaryota; Metazoa; Arthropoda; Insecta; Coleoptera; Curculionidae. The record is from RNAcentral.